This 877-nucleotide ribosomal RNA is filed under the name Triticum aestivum (bread wheat). RNAcentral's name for it is "partial small subunit ribosomal RNA". The record is from RNAcentral. Lineage: Eukaryota; Viridiplantae; Streptophyta; Magnoliopsida; Poales; Poaceae.
CAUCUACCGCCUGUCAUAUAUAUGUGCUACAUCCACAUGUCAUGUCAGGAUGGCAUAGGUGCCUGCCUGUGUCAUUUGAUGUGGCUUAAUCAUUCCUUCUUACGGUGGCGCGCGCGUGUACCACACCGGCCGUCGUUCCGAACACGAGCAGGAGCAGUGAAACGAGUGCGAAACCUCGUCGCUGCAACGGCAACGUAGCGGCAACCGCCGCAGCCACGCCCAGCCGCACCACGACCUGGACUGCUCGCACCCCUCCCUCUCCGCGCGAACGUAAAGGUACCGCAACCUGCUGAAGGUACGGCGAGUACGGCCGAGGCCACGGUGCACCUAGCUCGACGAGGAUGCUCUGAGCGCGCCCCUAGAACGGUGCCGACGUGUACGACCAGUGAACACUAGAGACCGUGACCCUCGAACUCAUACACGUCGUAGACCAACUUUGUUCCGAAGACCAACCACUACGACAACAUCUACGUUAACCACGAUAACUCCUGUUCUCCCUUCUCGAACUCUCCGUCUCCUGACUUAGUUACCGUCCGUCUCCGUGUCGACCUUCCCAGUACCGACCUUCUCCAUCCCGACCUUCUGUAUUAAUACCGUCGAGAUCACUCUUAUUCAUACGAUGGUUCGUCGUUUAACGAUACGAAAAUCCCAAUCCGUCUCUCUAAAACUACGACGACUUCGACUACUAACCAAAACAAUAUCACGAAACACACUACACAAAGUGUAAUCAAUACUUCUUCACUUCACAACAAUUAAGUCAUCCACAUCCACACAUUUGACUCGUAUGAUUUUACCAACGAAAACAAACGAGUCAUUACGAAUCAACAUUACCAACAACAUUACCUAUUAUACAGUGAUUACACUUCGGAAGAACUGG